This 792-nucleotide ribosomal RNA is filed under the name uncultured bacterium. RNAcentral's name for it is "bacterial SSU rRNA". It matches the Rfam family "Bacterial small subunit ribosomal RNA", at positions 8 to 785 of the family's 1533-position model. The record is from RNAcentral.
AGAGUUUGAUCCUGGCUCAGAUUGAACGCUGGCGGCAUGCUUUACACAUGCAAGUCGAACGGCAGCGGGGAGGAGCUUGCUUCUCUGCCGGCGAGUGGCGAACGGGUGAGUAAUACAUCGGAACGUGUCGAGAAGAGGGGGAUAACCACCCGAAAGGGUGGCUAAUACCGCAUAAAUUCUGAGGAAGAAAGCUGGGGACCURGGAAUAGGCCUAGCGCUUUUUGAGCGGCCGAUGUCGGAUUAGCUAGUUGGUGAGGUAAAGGCUCACCAAGGCGAAGAUCUGUAGCGGGUCUGAGAGGAUGAUCCGCCACACUGGGACUGAGACACGGCCCAGACUCCUACGGGAGGCAGCAGUGGGGAAUUUUGGACAAUGGGGGCAACCCUGAUCCAGCCAUGCCGCGUGUAUGAAGAAGGCCUUAGGGUUGUAAAGUACUUUUGUUAGGGAAGAAAAGUCAGCUGUGAAUAAUGGCUGAUACUGACGGUACCUAAAGAAUAAGCACCGGCUAACUACGUGCCAGCAGCCGCGGUAAUACGUAGGGUGCGAGCGUUAAUCGGAAUUAUUGGGCGUAAAGCGAGUGUAGACGGUUAUUUAAGCCAGAUGUGAAAUACCCGAGCCUAACUUGGGAGGUGCAUAUGGAACUGGGUAGCUAGAGUGUGUCAGAGGGAGGUAGAACUCCACGUGUAGCAGUGAAAUGCGUAGAGAUGUGGAAGAAUACCGAUGGCGAAGGCAGCCUCCUGGGAUAACACUGACGUUGAGGCUCGAAAGCGUGGGGAGCAAACAGGAUUAGAUAC